Molecule: long non-coding RNA, 1105 nt
Organism: Eleginops maclovinus (Patagonian blennie)
Lineage: Eukaryota; Metazoa; Chordata; Actinopteri; Perciformes; Eleginopidae
Exons: 4
Source: RefSeq, a predicted model, not a curated record
GCACGACUGAACACAGCCAAACGGAUUUUCAAUAAUAACCUUCAUGUAGCAAUCAUCCUGAACCUCUCAAAACAACCGGAAGGAAGUCCGAGCGGAAGACAGACAGCAGCACGACUUCGUCUACAUUUUUCAAGCCAGCACUCACCUGGCUGAAAAGGGAGGUUUGUCCAGGCCGAACCACAGAACAACACUGCUGCAGAGAGGAAGACUUCAAUGGGUGUGCAGAGAUUGUAAAGCUGCAUUAGGACCACAGAUAAUCGCCGAUCAAGGUUGCCAGGAGUGAUCAGUGUUACAGUGAAAGGGGCACCUCUGCAUUGAGUCUACACGGAACUGUUCCUACACGUCAACCCACACUCACCUGACACCCGUGUGAACAGAUCCAAACAAGCCAGUGUGUGAGAUCGGUUCACACAAAACUUCCUGAUUUGUAAUGUUCAGGUAAAGGCUGCUCAGUAGAAAAUCAAUGAUGACUGUCACCGCUGCAAAUUCAGCUUUCCUGUGACAGUGAACGGAAACUAAUGGGUAUGAAAAUAGCCUUCAAGCUAAACACAAUAUGACUCGGUGUACUGGGGCAUGUUGCCACGACCGGCCUAUAAAUUCACUGAUACCCAGGGCCAAUUCUGCCUAAUGCUUCAGAACUAAUGUAAAUGAUGAUGAGCGGUAUUACCAGACCUGCGCUACUCCUGAUCACCUGAGCCCAGGGAAGCUAUUAUCUUGAGAUGGCAAAAGUUGAGAAAAGAUGAAGAGAAAAUUGUAGAAACACUUUAGGAGGAUAUUAGAGAGAUAGAUUAUUUGUCAUCAUCAUUGCUUAAACAAAAAACGAGUUCUGCCUGGACUACUACAACAGAAACGUCUGCCUAGAGAAACGUACAGUGUAUGGUUGUAGUUAUUGUAAUUAUAUUUUUGUAAAAUCCUCACACGUUAUUUUAGACCUUAAUUUCACUACUGCAAAUGGUAUUCGAAUAGAAAUAAUCCCUUUUUUAUUUCCGUUUAUCCUGCACGGGUUGCCUACGGAUUUACCAUCUGUUCCAAUGCUGUAUGUUUCAGUGCAUCCAGAUCAAGAAAUAUGCUGCAAAUUCCCAACAAAACUAAGCCAACUGUUCUG